AUAAGUCAUUGCAAAACAGCCACCUGUAUUUUCUUCUUCUUUUCACAGCCACCGGUAUUUUCUUCUUCUUUUCCGUCGGCUUGUUGGAGGGGGAAAAUGAAGUGAAAAAACAAGAAUUGUUUACUGGGGGCCUACAACUCUGAAGCCCACACUUGUCUUCGAGGUGAAAUUUUUUAUACACAUAAUUUUACUCACAACUUUCAAUUUCAUCAAAGUUUUCAGAUGAUCCAUUGUUGUCAUACAGUACAGUGUUUGAAGGUAAAACAAAACACGAGAUUUGUACAGUUUUAUUGGGUCUUAUUUUCCUUAAUUUAUCGGUGAUAAAACAAGGUACAAUGUGGUUUUAUUCUCUUUAUUUUAAUCAUAUUCGACAAUAAUGGGUAAGACUAAUGAUUCUGGGUUUUGCCUAAUAAUUCCUAACAUUAAUGUUACUGUAUUUUAUUUUGUUCUGUUUUGUUUAUGGGUUCCGUAGCUCAAUGGGUUUUACCAAAGAUUCUCGGGUUUGUUCAAGAAUUCCUUACAUUGAUGUUAGUGGACAUUUUUGUUGCCAUUUCUACUUAUUUUAUUUUUAUUAAUUUUGUGGUUUCAUACUUUCUUGGAUUUUGCCUUAUUUGUUGUGAUUUCUGUUUUUUUUUAUAAAUUAAUCAUACAUACCCUUCUGCAAACACAAAAUUAAAUAAACAUAUUAUUUAGGCAAGUUAGACAAAUACUGAGGCCUCUGCAUUUGCAUAUAUUUGUCAAUUGAAAUUUGGAUGAUUAUUGAAUCCGGUGUUAUAAAUAAAUGCUUACAAAGAUAAAUGUGCUUGCAGAAUGGCUAGAUUUUUCAGAAGAGACUUUGAUGUGUUUCCUCGCAUAAACCUGGUCAGUGUCGUUUUUGGAGGUUACUGUGGUUAUGUUAUUGGGGAGUGGUAAGUCUUCACGGUUUUCAACUAUUAAUUGCUUAAUUAAUCAGCUUGCACUUUGAAUUACUUGUGCCCAUAUGCAUAUGAUUAUAAUUUUUUAUUGACCUUCAUUUUUUUGAGUCUACACUUUAAUCUCUGAAUCAAACCUGAAUCUUUGUUGAUAUUUUUAUAUUUUAUGCAUGUAAUGGACAAUUGACUUGUUACUAUUUACCUCACUCCGUCCUUCACCUAUCCAUAAAGUUAUCUGCUCAUAAGUAAUUAUUUUUUCAAGUGAUUGGAGUUUUUUUCUUUAAUGAUAUGCAGAAGAUAUUGUAUUAUGAUUAGAUCCGUAGGAUGCUUUAAUUUAUGCUGAGUUGGUGCUUUUUUUGUCGUUCUCCUAGCCUUUGCCUUUUCUGUCAUUCUCCUAGCCUUUGCUUCCUUACUCUGAGGAUCGCCACUAUUAUAAAUGAAGUUAACUUAUGGUAUUUGACUAUUUGUAGAAAUUUGAUAGUUGGUAUUUUUGCCACUAUUAUAGAAUCUGUUGAAUGCUCGAUGUAAUUUCUUUUUAACAGGUCAGGAAAAAGCAGGAUGAGGGAAUUGAUCAAGAACGAGAGGUAUCAUAUAGUACCACAUAGUACUUUAUUCUUUCUUAUAGAUACAGUGCUUCAUAUUAGUUGAAUAUAUGCAGAGAUGUCACCUGACUCUUAAGAGCUGACUAAUCUUUGAAAAUGAUUCAGUUCAUGGGAUUAACGAACCUUGAUUAGUCUAAGACUUGCUUACUUCCUUCUUUUCUUGGAGACUUGAAGCAGUCCCCAUAAAAUAAUGGAUAAUUAAAAAACUAGUCAUGUUUAUCCAUAAUUGGCUUAGUUUGAUUUCCCACAAGGGCCGUUAGGUUACAUUAUUGAUUUAAUUUUUAUGCUUGUUGAAGUAUUUAAUUUAUGUGUCAAUGCCGUUUGUCUUUUGGGACUAGUUGGAGAGGAAAAGGAGAGCUUUUGUUAGUGAAAUUGUCUAUGGUAAGAGCGAAAGCUUUGUUGCUAGUGCUAUCAGCCAUGUACUAUGUUUUCUGCUCUUAGGGACUACUCUGAGAUUCUUUAUUUUCUUUUUGUUUUUUCUUGGGUAGUUUGUGUUUGUGCGUGUGCACGAUAGCGUGGGGUACAAUUAGCUGAUACAUUAUUCUCUUAAUGUACUUUAGUUCCGCGCUCCCAUUUGGUGCUCUUCUAACAAAUACUAAUCCAUAUUACUUGCCAAAAAAGUGAAAAACUAGAAAAAAGUAGUUAUUUAACAAAUAAAUUAAGGUAUCGUUUCUAUGUAUUUUGAGCUGAUUAUGCUUAUCAAAGCAAAUGUCUUUAAGGAAUUACAUUUUGUAGACUUAGAUUAGAUGUUGGGUGAGAUUUUAUUUAUUUAUUUAAUAUUAUAUUUUUAACUGCUAUGCGUAAUGUAAGGGUUAAAAGUAUUCGUACCUAUUAAACUAAAGGCAUUUUAUGUUUGAACAUUGUUUUCUAGUCAUCUCAUUGAACUAAUAAUUAAUUAAAAAAACUGAAAAAACGUCAAUUCUAUUAAAAAUUAAAGGGCUGAUCUAUAUUGUGCCACGUGACGUGCUGAUGAGUAUGAAAAGUUGAGUUGGAUAAAUUAAUUAAAUUAAAUUAAAUCCAUUUUCUAUAACUAAAUUAAAAUAAACCUUUUUACUAUAUUUAAAUUAAAUUCAUUUCAUUUAAUUGAAUAAAUUAUUUUUACUUCAAUUAAAUGAAAAAUGGAUGUUCAACUUAAUUAAACAACUCAAAAGUUAAAAGUUUUACUUUAAUUUUUUCACUAAUUCUUAAUACCACCACCACCACUACUACCUUUGUGUUGUUCAAAAUCACAAGUUUCGUAAAUGUCCAAUGAAGAAUGCAAUCAACAAUCAAACAGCAAUUUAGUUGAUCCGUCUCUCCCCUAAUGUCAUGUACCCUUCCCUUUCCUCGUGAAUCCUUCUUUGCUUUACUAGAUCUGAAUAUUUUUCAUGUCUUGACAACACAUUAGAUAACCCCAAUUUUUUUGUUGUUUUUCAAAAUGAAUUAAAAAUAGAAAUCCGACUAAGUACUUUAGAUAAGAGAGAAAUUAGGCACAUAUACGGCAAACUUGUGGUGAUGGAAUGUUAGAGAGUAAGAGGGCAAUGUUGAAAUUUUAGAGAGAGAAAUUAGGCACAUAUAUCACAAAAUGGUCUUUCAACCAAAAAAUUUAGGGAUAGUUUUUCAACCUAAACUUUUAGAGAACACUUUAAACCCACCUACAAAUAAUAAAACUCCAAAUCCUAAAAUUUGUUUAAUGUGAAAUCCUAUUUCCCUAUUAUUCGCAAAAAACUCUCGGCUAAGGCUUCAAUUUCUUUAGUCUUUCUCUCUUUCUCUUGCUUCUACUCUUGUAUUUCUUUGCAUUUUGAUAUUGAGUUUUAUUUUCUACUGCUGGAUUCCUACAGUUAGUUAUUUAGCCUUAUGAUCUAUUUACUAUGUUGAAGAGAUAUAAUUAACUAUGAGUGGCCAAAUUCAGAAGUGCAAAAUUUGUUACAAAUGGAAAAGCUUAUAGCUUAGAUACUUUGUUAUUAGCAUUGUAGAAAUUACCUUUUUUGGUUUAUGAGAAUAGGAUGUUUACCUUUUUUGAGAUUUGGGGUUUUUGAUUUUAUUCUUCUUUUUAUUAUUUGACCAAUCUCCCUCCCUUCCUCUCCCUCUGCCUCUCCCUCUCCUUCUCCCUUUAAUUCAUGUUCAAAAUUAAACUAUAACUAAGAUAGUAUAAUACAAAAAAGUAUAAACAUUAAAAUAAUUCUAUAACAAAACCCGUGCUUUGUACAUAUACGUGAUAUGUCUAUCUCUCACGUGUCCUGCACAUAUAACUUUUCUGCAAGUCAAACUAGUUGGACUAAUUUUUUAGCAUUUUGUAUGAUUUUAUUAAUUAUGUUAGUUAAAUGGUAAAGAAUUACAUUCAAUAAAUAGGCAAAAGUAUAUUUAAUCCAUAUGCGUAAGCAAUAGGACUGAUCAUUCGGCUAUAACCGAACCGAAUAGGUUAUUCGGUUAUAACCGAAAUACCGAAUUGUAAAUUCGGAUAUUUCGGUUAAUAACCGAACCUAUGCUCCCUGUUAUCAUUUACAAUAAAAAAAAGAACCAUUACCGAAUUGUAAACCAUUACAUAUGAAUACUACUUUUUCCCAUGCCCCUCCCUGUUUUAGAUUCCACCCUACAGAAGUACAUAUGAAGAAUUUGUUGAUUACUACCUUAGAAAAAAGAUUGCUUCGAAAAGAAUCGAUCUUACGAUCUAGAUGUCAUCAAUGAUGUAGAUCUCUACAAAAUUGAGCCAUGGGAUCUUGAAGGUUGAAGAAAAGAGUCGCCGACUCACUCGCCGACUCGCAUGGAGCUGCCAAGGGUAAGGCGGAGGUCGGAGACUGAGAGAGACGGAGAAAUCGAAAUCGAGAGGCGGAGACGGAGAAGAAAGAGGAUAUGGUCGAAGCUGAGAGACGAAGAAGAAAGAGGAUGUGGUCGAAACUGAGAGGCGGAGAGGAAAGAGGAUACGGGAUAUGGGAUAAUGGGAAAUGGGAUCUGGGAUGGACGAAUGAGUGGGAUCUGACUUCUGAGAGUCCAACUCAAAAUGGAAUACUAAUAGUCUAAUAUAGUAUAGUCAUAUAAUACAGAUAAGAUACCUCCUAGUCUCCUACCGGCUAUCGCCAUACGGCCCAUAUAUUUUUUUAAUUAAUAAAUUCGGUAAUUCGGAUACCCGAAUUAGUUGUUUUUUAAAACCGAAUCCGAAACCGAAUACCGAGUGUUAACGCCAAGUUUCGCCGGCGCGUCCAAUCACAGAAUCCACGCGCUAAAACCUGCACAAUAACAGAUCACACAGAAGCUUGACGACUUUUGCUGCCGGGGGAUAGCUCCGGCGUGAGAAUAAGUACAGGCCGUUCACAAGGUUUAACAAUGGAGGCUAAGUGUUUAGUGCUCAAAAGUAGGUAUUACCUCUUAAUUGUAACCUUGGCCUUGUAUUUAUAGUAUUCACCACCUUUAGAAUCCCUUUCCGAGUCGGUUUAGGACUCCUAAAUAUGGCAGUUACCAAUAUUUGGGUCCAACACAAUAUCCUUAAAAGGUGCAAAUGGAAUCCAAUCCAACCACUACCUCUGGAGUUGCCUUAUUCAAUUAUGGUUAGGACUCUAGGCUCUAUGCGCAGGAAAGCCCACUGCACAGGCCCAACCCAACCGAACUCCCCAUCGGGUCUGAACCCCGGCCCAAAGGACUUGAAGACUCGACCCCGAACACCUCACACCAACUCACCCAUGGGCUUCAGCCCGAUGGGCUCACGAACCCCUUUCAAUGUCAGGCUUUCGGCCCACUGGGAGGUCGGUAAAACGCUCCCGAACAUUGCCCCCCAGUCUCUUGUUAUAAUGUACUUAUAAUUAGAGACUUGAAAGGUCAGGUAUUCGAAAGGUCACGAGAGCUAAUGAUGAGCUGUCUGGGGAACCCAAGCGGCCUGUCCUCGAAUUCGAAACGUUGCACGCCUUUCCAUGUUUGGUCCCACCUUGAGCAUUUAAUAGCCGCCCUUGGGUAGCGUGCAACUACACCUAUAAAACCCCCCUUUCCCCCUCAUUAUCACUUUUCCCAAAUAUCUUCAUUUCAAACCCUCUAUUCAAAUUUUCCGGCGAGCUCAUUUCUUCUCUCCAACACUUCACCGAGUUUGUCUACUCUGCCCACUUUUGAACUUCAUUUUUGUUCACUUUCUUGUUAAAACUUCACAUUUGUCUCAUUCCCCUCGAUCAAAUGGCUGAUUCUAGCAUUCCACCCCCACCACUGAACCAACCCCCCCCUCCGUCACUACCGGCGAUCUAGUUCCGGUAGAACUUCCGACAGCCUCUACCGAUAUCCUCCCAGUCGAUGCUGAAGACCGAAUUCGAAGCGUCUACGCUUCAGCCACUGACUUCUCACACAUCAACACCCCAUCAACCGUCUCCUCCUCUCAAAUUUCAGACAUCCGCGUGCUAUUCAACAUCCCGAGGAAGAGAGGAUGUUUUGGAGGCCCGAAGGUGAAUGGGUAGUCGUUCCCCUAUACCUCCUCAAAUAUGGGAUUCGGUUCCCACUCCACGAAUUUAUUUCAACCUUUCUUGGCUUUGUGGGGAUUGGGUUCGCACAACUUGUGCCGAACUCUUAUAUCCAUCUAGUCUUUUUCAUCGCCCUGUGCCAGGAGAUGGGGAUCACUCCUGGCCUGGAUUUCUUCUUUGCCUUGUUUACUGUUGGCGGGUCGAAAGAACCUGGCCUUCGGCAGCUAAACAAGCGACCCAACCGUUCUGUCCUCGUCAAAACCCCUUCGAGUAACAAGGGGUGUCACGACAAAUGGUUCUUUGCCAAGGGAACCGACCUCCAACUUCUUCCUCACUGGGCCCAUCCCGAGGACCCCGUCGUGAAAGUAUCCAAGUUUCCCAAGGAUCGGGCCGACGCCUUCAAAGCAUUCUAUAAGAAGUUGAGCAAGACCGAAUGGAGUUUGACCGUCUUGUCCAAUGAAGCCUGGCUAUACAAACACGGGCGUAAGUUACAAUUCCCCUACCUUUAAGUGUGAUGAUUUUAUUUUUUGUAUGCCGUAUUAUUAACUGCUCUGUCUGCCUGGCAGUAACCAUCUUUAAACCCGAAGGUGCCAACGACUCCCUGGUACCUCUUCUCACCACCACCGGACCAAUCCGACCCCCGGUGACCGACGACUCUCCGGACGAAGAAACUAUCCCGAUCAUCGAACUUUCAUUAGGCUCUGGUACGGGGCCCGACCCCCCGACCACCACCAAGAAUGCUUUGAAGAUGAGUCGGGCCGAGAAAGCGGCUCUGUUAAAGAAGACCAAAGGGCCUUCCAAGCCUUCUGCGAAAGUUUUUGCUAAGACCAUCUCCGCAACACCCCCGAAACCGACUCCUCCCCCACCCCCUACUCAAGCCGAGGUGAUCGUGGACUCGGAAGACACUGAAGAGGAGCCCCUUGAGCCCCGAUCCAAGAAGCCACGGCUCACUGAAGGUUCCGAACCGCCGGUUGCUGUUGUCGAUCCUAUAGUCGCCUCAGCCCCUUCGUCUACCCCCAGCUCAUCACACGGGUCUCCGACCACCUGUUGGCCGAAGAGUCCUUCAGAGGUAUUUCCCUUUAACCUGUUCAAUCACUUUAAGCUUUCGGGCGAUGACGAACGGUUCAAGGGAUUUUCUUCCGAGGAGUAUUUAGUGGCUUACGUCCGGGCUCAAUGCCAGGUAAUUUUGCGGUUAUUUACCUUGUCUUUGUAAACUUAUAAUUUGAUUUUGAUAACUGAUGCAUGUGUUUGUUGCAGGCCAACGCCAUCCUUGCUCGAGCCAUUCCUCCCCUCGCUCGAACCACUAAAAAGGAAGUUCAGCUGAGGUUGGACGUGAUGCUGCUUGAAGCUGAGGUUCGAGGCCUAAACUCGGACCUGAAGAAGGAACGAGAGCUCCACGCUGAGACCCGGAAUAAGGCAACCCGAGCCGAACGCCAGGCCGACGAACUCAGGGAACAAUACUCUUUCCUUUAGCAUGAGUUCGUCGGCCUCGAAGGCCAUGCUAAAAGGUUAGGAGAAGGAGCAGCUGGCCUCCGACUUCAAAGAGCGGGAACAGGCUAUCGAAGACCUUGGGGAGAAGUUUUCUGAAGCGCACGAGAAGAUGAAAUAUCUGAUUCGGGAAAACAACUCCCUGAAGGAAGGUCAAGCCGAAGCCCAGCAGCGGAUCAUAGCCGAAUACGAAGAGUCCGACGCCUUGAAUGAUAAGGUCAUGGCCCAGUUUGGUGAAGGGUAUGAGGCUUAUCGUGAAAAGGCUCGGGCGAAAUUAAUAGCUGCUGGGCUCGAUGCCUCCCUACUCGACUCGUCGGACGAAGAAUCUGAAGUCGGCGAUGACCCUCCUCCCGAAUAGCUCUUUCAAGACUUGUAAAUUUUUGUACUUCUUCCAUUUUCCUUUUUAUUUGUACUUCGCCCGAAUCGUAAGCGAUCGGGUUUGUAAAAAUUUCAAAGUAUGAAUGAAAUAGAGUAUCUUUGCUCAUAAAUUUUUGUAAUCAGUUAUACUCGUGACUUAUCUCGAUCAGUGGUAUCUUUCCGAACCUCCUGAUCGGAUAGUGCCCGAAGCUUGUCUGAUUCCAGAAUUGCAGUCUCGAUCAGUUAUACCCGCGACUGUACUGAUCAGUUUCGUCGUUUUUGACUUUCUGAUCGGUUUAAGCUCGAUGUUUAUCUGAUCGGAUACUGAAAACCGUAUGAAUAUAGAUGAAGCCAAACAUCUCCAAAGAUAACUUUCAUUUAUUUCAUUUAAAAUUGAAACGGUUACAUGGAUAAAGAAAAGAAUGACAUAACUAUUAUUGGUAAAAUUUUCUAAGUCUUCCAGCAUGCCAUGUAUUCUUUACUUCCGAACCAUCCAUUGCUCGAAACCGGUAUAUACCUGGCUUCGGCACCUCUACUACUUCGUAUGGUCCCUCCCAGUUAGGCAUCAGUUUACCGGUGUUCUGGGGGGUUGAUGCCUCCGACUCCCGGAGGACCAAAUCGCCCACUUCAAACCUCCUUUGUUUUACCUUCCGAUUAUAGUGUCGAGCUGUUCGCUGCUGAUAGAUAGCCAAUCUCAUCACAGCUGAACCCGAACCUCUUCCAGCAGAUCCAAGUUUGUUUUCAAACCUUCAUCAUUAUAUAGUUCUUUGUACUGACUGACUCCAAGAGUAGGGGACCCGAUCUCAACCGGUAUGAGUGCAUCGGUCCCGUAUGCCAGUUGGAAAGGAGAGUCCCCGGUUGUUGUCCUUGGAGUAGUUCGAUAUGCCCACAAAACACUGAGUAGCUCUUCGGGCCACCGACCCUUUAACUCAUCCAGCCUUCUUUUGAUCCCGUUGAGCAGGGUUCGGUUGGUCACUUCUACUUGACCAUUCGACUGAGGGUGGGCGACUGAAGUCUUGCGAUGCUGUAUUCCCAAUUCUUUUAGAAAGCCUUCGAACUUUGACCCCACAAAUUGUCUGCCAUUAUCAGAGACCACUACCAUCGGAAUACUGAAAUGAUAAACGACUCCUUCUUUGAAAAAUUUCAGGCAUUCUUGUUCGGUGAUCUUCUGCAGUGGUUUGGCUUUGACCCAUUUCGUCAUAUAAUCGAUAGCCACGAUCACAAAACUAACUUGUCCCUUGGCCUUCGGCAGAGGCCCUAGGAUGUCGAUUCCCCACACAGCAAAGGGAAUCGGGGAUAAAACCGAAUACAGCUCUUCGGGAGGUUGAUGUGGGAUAGUGUUGUUCAGCUGACACUUAGGACACCUUCUGACGAAUUCUUUGGCCUCCGUGUAGAUAGUCGACCAAUAAUACCCCUGCCUCAAAAUCUUGUGUGCCAGUGACUUUGCUCCCAUGUGAUUCCCAUAGAUCCCUUCAUGUACUUCCCGAAGAGUGUAAUCCGCCUCUGAUGGGGUUAAGCAUUUGAGCAGUGGGGAGCUAAAUGCCCUUCGGUAUAGGUCUCCGUCUAUAAGGACGAAGUUCGAACUCCCGUGUUUAACUUUUCUUGCAAGGAUUCGGUCUGAAGGUAGAACCCCAUCUGCCAGAUACGUGAUGUAAGGUGUGAGCCAGCAGUCGAGUCGGUCCAAAGCCAGCACCUCUGUCUUCGGAACAUUUGGUCGUUCUAAAACCUCCAGGUAUACCGACCCGUUGAAGGAACUUGCUUCGGUGGUUGCCAACCUGGCUAGGGCAUCUGCUACUGUAUUAUCUGACCGGUCCACCCCCUGACAACUGUGUGAUGUGAAGUAAGCAAGCUUAUCUUUCACCUCGGCCAGAUAUUUUGUCAUUCUUGCUCCCUGAGCCUCAUACUCUCCCGACAGCUGCUUGACCACCGGCUGCGAAUCACUGUAGAUGGCCAACUUCUGAACUUCCAAGCUCCGAGCCAACCGUAUCCCUGCUAGGAUGGCCUCGUACUCUGCUUCGUUGUUCGUGGCCUUGAACUGAAAUCGAAUCGCCUGCUGGACUUUGAACUCUUUGGGGCUUGUCAGGAUGACCCCUGCCCCACUGACGUCCGAUGUUGACGAUCCAUCCACGUAUAAAGUCCACGCGGUCGGCCCUUGUUGGGUUUCGGUCACUGUAUUCACGUUUGGUUCCGUGAAAGAGCAUUCCACGAUGAAGUCAGCCAAUGCCUGACCCUUGAUUGCCGUUCGGGGAUGAUACUCUAUAGCAAAUUGCGUUAGCUCCAUCGCCCAUGCUGCAAGCCGACCCGACACAUCCUGCUUAUGCAAUAUUUUCUUUAACGGCUGAUCCGUAUAUACCACCACCAUCCGACCUUGGAAAUAAUGCCGAAGUUUCCUGCUUGCAAUGAUUAGGGCAUACGCGAAUUUCUCCAGGUUCGGGUAUCUUGUUUCUGCAUCUCAAAGAACAUGGCUGACGUAGUAUACCAGGAACUGUUUUCUUCAUUUGUCUCUCACCAAUGCCGUUCCCACUGCCAUCGGGCUCGCAGCCAAGUAUAAGUAUAAAGGUUCCGAAGGGAUCGAUUUCAUCAGUAAUGGUGCCGAAGACAGAUACUUUUUAAUCUCCUGGAACGCGUCUUCGCAUUCCGAUGUCCACUGAAAACUCUUCUCAUUCUUCGGCCCCUUGAGAGUGUCAAAGAAGGGCAAACAUCUUUCGGCUGAUCUUGACACGAAUCUCCGAAGGGCAGCUAUCCGGCCCGUCAACCUUUGCACGUCUUUGAAUGUCUUCAGAGAUUUCAUGUCUAAGAUCGCCGCAAUUUUCUCUGGGUUUGCUUCGAUACCCCUUUUGCUGACCAAAUAUCCCAGAAACUUUCCUGAACCCAAACUGAAAGUACAUUUGGUUGGGUUCAGUCUCAGUUUGUGUUUCCUUACUGUUUCGAAGCAGUCUUCUAGGUCCUUCAGAUGAUCCCGGACUGACAUGCUUUUUACGAUCAUGUCGUCCACGUAUACUUCCAUACUUCGGCCUAGCUGCUUUCUGAAUACAAAGUUCAUCAUCCGUUGAUAAGUUGCCCCCGCGUUCAGCAAUCCGAAGGUCAUCUUCCGAUACGCAUAUAUGGCCCGAUGAGUGAUGAAGCUUGUCUGCGGGAUGUCAUCCUUGUUCAUCGAAAUUUGGUGGUAUCCCGAGAAAGCGUCCAUGAAACUUAACAUACCAUACUCCGAAGUUGCAUCAAUCAGUUGGUCUAUGUUGGGUAGAGGAUAGAAAUCUUUUGGGCAUGCCUUAUUAAGAUCUGUGUAGUCGAUGCAUAACCUCCACUUCCCGUUUUGCUUCUGAACCAAUACCACAUUCGCCAGCCAUUCGGGGUAGUCGAUCUCGAAAAUGAAUCCUGCCUCCAUCAGUUUAGCGAUCUCUUCAUCUAUGAUCCUCUGCCUUUUUGGGGCGAAAAUCCUUCUUUUCUGUAUCACUGGUUUUCUCUUCGCGUCUGUAUGCAGUCUAUGUAGCUCUACCGAUUCACUUACCCCUGGCAUAUCGCUAGGCUCUCAAGCGAAGAUAUCGGCAUACACCCGAAGCAAGUCCACCAGACUUGUCCGUAGUGGUUCUGUCAAACUUGCCCCAAUCUUGAUCAGUUUUUCUGUGUUCCCCGGUAUCAACUCAACAUCUUCUGUCUCUUCUGCCGGCAGUGCCAUCGGUUCAGUGCUAUUUUCGGUGAACGGCUCUAUCUCGAUGGCCAUCGUCUGUUUCUGUUUGCUGACCCCAACCCCUGAGGAGAUCAGAGUGUUCCGAUAACACCUUAGGGCAAUAUCAAGGUCGCCUUUUACCUCCCUAAUCUCGUUUGGUGUUGGAAAUUUGAUCUUGAAGUGUGGAAUGGAUGUUACUGCUUGUAGGGCUGCUAGGGUCGGCCUUCCCAGAAUAGCAUUAUAGGUCGAAUCCACCUGUACCACGAAAAAUCUAACCAUGAUUUCUGCCUGCUGGGGUGCUGUACCGAACCUGACGGGAAGCUCUAUCGUUCCUGACACAUGCACCGGGUCCCCGCUGAACCCAUAUAAUGGACCCUCUCCUCCCAACUCCAUCUUCUUUCCUUCCAAGUCCAUCCUCUGAUAGGCGUGCGUGUACAGUAUGUCGACCUAGGAUCCGUUGUCGACCAUCAUCCUUUUCAUAUCCAUCGGCCCGACCUGUGUCGUUAUCACCAACGCCCCGUCAUGUGGUUCGGUGUGAUCAAUAGGGUAAUCUUCAUCCGAGAAGGAGAUGGAGACUCCCGAGUAGACCCUGUCCUUUCGGGGUGAUGAAUUUGCUACUGAUAAUACCGCCUUGAGGUGCCCACUCCUCUUCCUUCCGGUUACACGCCCUACCGACCCGCCCGAAAUUACAUCAAUCACCCCUCAGGCUUGUGGGUGCGGUUGCGGCUGUGUUUCCCGAGUUGGCUCCCUGUUCUCUUCCCGGGGUGCCUUGGAGCCUUCCCGACCGACCACAUACUGCACCAGUUGCCCAUUCUGGACAUUCUUCUCUAUCAAAUCUUUCAAGUCGUUACACAUCUCCGUCGUAUACCCCCGACAUUGAUGGUAUGCACAAUAUUUGUCCCGACCUCUCUUUCCAGGCUUAGGGAUCGUCGGGUAUGGCUCGAAGAAAGGUUUAUUCCUCAUCUCCUCCAAUAUCUUCGCCCGAUCAGUGUUGAGUGCGGUAUAGACUUUGUUGACAUUCUUAUUCGGGAAAGGCGGUCGUCCGUUGCCCGAACCUCCCCCAUUGUAGCUUUUCUUACCAUAAUUAUCGGACUUCCCCCUGAUUAUCGGACCUUUGGUAACUCUGCUUGUCCCGAUCUUUAGAUUUCUCGUAAGAUUGGGAGUGGGGUUUAAAAUUUCCCAUCGCUUCCUCUAUUGCUAUGUGACCCUCGGCUCAGUGGAAGGCUUCUGUCAAAUCUGCCGGAGGGUUGAUCACUAGAUCCUUCAUCAACUUCUUCUGUCAAAUCUGCCGGAGGGUUGAUCACUAGAUCCUUCAUCAACUUCUUCAAUUUCCCGAUGUUUAAACCAGUAGUGAAGAAUCCCAAGGCUUGUGGGGAGUUUAACUCUGUUACCGACCCCACAGCCUCUCGAAACCUUUUGACGUACUAACCCAAGCUUUCAUCUAACUUCUGUCUGACUUGCAUGAGGGAAGCUGUGAUCUUUCCUCGCCUUCUGUUACUUCCGAAUCGAGCAUGAAAUUUUUCCCGAAGAUCACUCCAUGAAUUGAUCGAUCCUGCCGCCAAAUUUUCCAUCCAUUCUCGGGCGCUCUUCUUCAAGGUCGUUGCGAACAUGUGACACUUGGCAGCAUCAGAAUGGCCGUAGUAUGUCAUCAGCCUGUCAUACCCGUCUGAGUGAUCAUAUGGAUCCCCCAGGCCAUCAUAGGUCUCCAUCGGGGGCAUCUUCUUCUUGGGGUUGGCUAUCACAUGAUUGAUUUCAGGGGAGAAAGGCGACCCUAUGCAAGCUGAAGGUGUUCCCAGUGCACUCUUCGCCGCCAACAACUUUUCCAAUUCUGCCACCCUUCGGGCAAGGGGGUCGGAGUCCUCCUUACGAGGGGACGAUCGGGGUCUGUCCCUCCCGUAUUCAGGGGUCGCGUCCCUCCUCCUAUGUCCCGAUCUGCUCGGACGAUCCGAUCUUCGAUCUGGCGAACGGCUCCUCAUUCUACUUCGGCCUUCCCGAGACCGACUGCGGUGCCUGCUCUUUUCAUUUCUAGCUUCUCCCCGUCGGGGUGACCGGGACCGGCUCCGAUGCCUACGCCUCUUUGAGGAGGCCUCCUGCUCCCCAGCCAUCUGCGCCAUCUGCUGAUCGAGAUCCUCCUGCUGAAGACGUAGGGCCAACAUGGCAUCUCGGUUCUGUUGCAUCUUCUUCUGCAAGAUAAACUCCCUCUGAUCUUUGUUGUUCUCCCCUUGAUCCUUCCCAUGUACCUCCAGCGCCCGAGAACGAUUCUCAUCCGCGUGACUAGCCUGGUUGGGGGUAUGAUGGCUGUCAUGGAAGAGCUGUCGCCGGAGGGAAGCAGCCGGUUCCUGCUGGUCACCUUGGAUUCUGGAACCCAAUCUGUUUUUGACCGACCCUCUCACCUAGGUGGUCUGGUGCGCUUUCGCCUUUUCCUGGUUAGAAGCACUGUUUUUCCUGCUCGCCAUGGCCUCUUACCGGAAAAGCCAGUUGUGAUUGAUCAAGCACUAAAAAGGCCCCUCCUUCUAGCGCCAAUGUUAACGCCAAGUUUCGCCGGCGCGUCCAAUCACAGAAUCCACGCGCUAGAACCUGCACAAUAACAGAUCACAUAGAAGCUUGACGGCUUGUGCCGUCGGGGGAUAGCUCUGUUGUGAGAAUAAGUACAUGCCGUUCACAAGGUUUAACAAUGGAGGCUAAGGGUUUAGUGCUCAAAAGUAGGUAUUACCUCUUAAUUGUAACCUUGGCCUUGUAUUUAUAGUAUUCACCACCUUUAGAAUCCCUUUCUGAGUCGGUUUAGGACUCCUAAAUAUGGCAGCUACCAAUAUUUGGGUCCAACACAAUCUCCUUAAAAGGUGCAAAUGGAAUCCAAUCCAACCACUACCUCUGGAGUUGCCUUAUUCAAUUAUGGUUAGGACUCCAGGCUCUAUGCGUAGGAAAGCCCACUGCACAGACCCAACCCAACCGAACUCCCCAUCGGGUCUGAACCCCGACCCAAAGGACUCGAAGACUCGACCCCGAACACCUCACACUAACUCACCCAUGGGCUUCAGCCCGAUGGGCUUACGAACCCCUUUCAAUGUCAGGCUUUCGGCCCACUGGGAGGUCGGUAAAACGCUCCCGAACACCGAGUAAUAAAUCGGAUAUAACCGAAAUUAAAAAAAAAAUCGAAAAACCGAAAUAAUUCGGUUAAAAAAAUUCGGUUGUGUUCGGUAAUUCGGUUUUAUCCGUUUUUUGCUCACUCUUAGUAAGCACAAGCAUUUUGUGUACAAUGUUGGAAACCAUUUUUCUCUUUUAUUUUUAUGGUACAGGUAUUCUAUUUAUAAGUUCAUAUUUACUGUUAUUCCUCUCUAAAUUAGCUUAUGCUGUUAUUUUUUUUUUGUUUGAGUGGAUCCUAAGUGGUUGCAAGGCUUUAGCGGGUUGAGUUAUUAUUCUUUUGUUCAAGCUUACACAUAAUAGUAAUGGAAGAUUCACUAUUAAAAUGUAGAAGCGUCACAUGUCAUUCUAGUAUAUAAGUAGAUAUGGUUCCCAUAAUUAGUGUGUACACAUUGUUGUAAAUUAGGGAUUACCAUAACUGUAAAUUAGGGAUGGCUAUACUUGUGUAUAUAAACCAAUGUAAUUGAGAGCAAAUCAAUUAAGGAUUUAUAAACCCAAACUCUGUGUAUUCUUUUCUAUAUGGUAUCAGAGCGGGCUAUCCUUGGGCCUAAUUAAACACUCUUCUUAGCCUUCAUUCAUGCCCACUUGCAACCUAUUUCUUAAUUAGUACUACUUAUCAAUUGGGCCAAUAGUUGUCCAUGAUUUACUAGAUUUCUUCUGGACUUGCUUAUCUUGUGUGAGUCUUCAUAUACAUCAGGUCGACAUGCAACCCUCAAUACACUGGGUUAAACGUGAGGGGGAGUGUUAGAGUAUAUAUCUUGUCCCACAUUGAAUACCUUGAGAAAAUGUAUCUAGUAUAUAAUGACUUGGGUCAACUCUUCUCAUAGCCAAUUGGUUUUGAGUUAGAGUGCUUAAUGUCUUUAUAUACUAGACUUUGGGCCUAUUUUAUUAAUCAAACAUAGUACAACAACUUAGCUCAUGAAAUAUGGAUGAUAUUAGACUUACUUUUGGCAAAACAUUUCAGUUAAAAAAAUUGGCAAAACAUUCUUCACCACUAUAUUGGGGAACUAGACAUGGCAAUUGCUAGGCCUAGCUAAAAAAAUCUAUUAUUUCUCUGUUUGCAGCUGUGCAGUCUUAUUCAUAAAUAUGUUCCUGUUAAUCUUUGUCAUCUAAUGAAAAACUUCUUAUGACAGGAUUGUUGACAGAAUAUUAAAAAAGGUGGAUGAAGCUGAAAGGUUUGCCCUUCCCAGAGUACUGGUAUUUUUGUUUACUAAUAUUUUUUUGACAGGAUACUAGAACAGGUGAUUGAAGCUGAAAGGUUUUCCAAAAGUCAAAGAAUAUUAUUACCAAAAUGUUGUUAAUUUUUCUUUAUAAUCUUACACUCGUUCUGGGUUUAAUAGAAUUUUAAAGCUGAAUCAUAUAAAUUUACAUCCUGGUAUUUGGUUUUUCUUAUGUGGAUGCUAAGUUGUCAUAACAGGCAUCGUCUGGAAUGAGAACUUACCUGUUAGCUGAUGUUAGUAAUGUUAGUACCAUAACAUGUAGAUGUUAGUGAUGUUAGUAGCAUAACAUGCCUUAGGUUUAAACCAUUUCAUGUUUCCCAGUUAUCCUCCUUGUAUCAGGCGUACAUUUGUGUAUAUAUACCAAUCAAUGUAAUAGAAAAAAACUUUACUUGAAUAAAGAAAUCUAAACUCAGGUUCUUAGUUUUAACAUGGUAUCAAAGCAAGUUCCAUAAUAGACCUGAGUUUUUUUUUUCUUUCUUCUUGCUCCAUUUCUCGUUGUCGAUCAUCUCUUCCAGUAGAAACCUUGCAAGAUUAGGUUGUUUUGAGAAAUUGAACCUAUAUUAAAGUUCUACAGUCCCAGGCGACCUGACCGUAAUAUUCAAUUUUCUGACCCACUGCAGCACGCGCCACCUACACCUUACCUCUGACGCCACGCGCCAGCGUUGACCAGACACUUUCCGGCGCGGUCUCCCAAUUUGGUCGUUUUCUCUCCUCUUUCCAUCUACAAUGGUCGUCGUAUUGAGCAAAAUUCAGGUUUGUCUAGCGUUAGGCUUCGUGUUCGCUCUGUUAGUUCGUUUAUCCACUAUUAAUUCCUUAGAAGGCUUAAAAGAACAAAUUAACUGCAUUAAUUUGUUUUUUUUGGAUAAUUCCCUGUUUUUUGAGCCUGUAAAUUAUCCUUGUUGUUAUUUCCUUGGAUAAUUCUUAUUGCUCCUAUUACCUCACCAUGGCCGAAUCUGGUUCCAUUCAUAGUGAUGGUUCUACUGAAACCAAUAAAGGGCAGUUGAUUAGAAAUCAUCAUCUCAAUUCUGCUUUGGUUCUUAGUCCAUUUAAGUUGGAUAGAAACAAUUAUCUAGCUUGAUCACAAGCAUGCCGUAUGUCAAUUGAAGCUAACCGGAUGCAACACUUAAUCAUUGGUACAACAACCAUGCCUAUUCAAGCAGGUAUUGCCCAAGAAGAAUAGAAAUCUGAUAACUCCAUGAUAAAAACAUAGAUUUUUAACUCAAUGGAACCCAGUUUGAGGACUAGUUACAUGUUCUUAGACACGGCAUAUGAAUUUUGGGAGGCUAUCUCUCAAACCUUCUCUAUUUCUGGUGAUAUGUCUAAGGCAUAUGACAUCCGUAAACGAAUCCGAGAGCUGGGUCAAGGGGAGAAGCCUGUGGCACAGUAUUUUGCAAAGACUAAUGCACUUUGGCAGGAACUCGAUCAUUAUCGGGUUUUUUCAGCCAAAUGACUGGAAGAUACAACUGCUUAUCAAAAGUUUGUUAAUGAGGAUCAAGUUGUUGAUUUCUUGGCUGGUUUAAACAUUGAAUUUGAUCAAGUUCGAGCACAGUUGAUCGGUCAGACACCUUUCCCAUCACUGCGAGAUGCUCAUGUUAGAGUCCAAGAAGAGGAAAGUAGACGUCGGAUGAUGGUUCUAAACUUAAAUCAUGUUGACCGAUCAGCCCUGAUUGCUUCAUAUCCCAAGUCUGGCUUCCCCAUUCAGUCUCCUGUUGAGAAGGAGUCCCGCGAAUGUGAUUAUUGCGGGGGAAAGAAUCAUGCCAGGGAUCGAUGCUUUAAACUUCAUGGACGUCCUAAAGGGCGUGGAGGUCGGCCCAGUCGUGGUUGUGGAUGUGGAUCCCAGGCCUAUAUAUCUUCUCUACCACUUCCUGUUGAUGCACCUAGUACUUCAGAAAUUACUACUUCACUUACUCCUGAGAAAAUUUUAGUUUUUCGAAAAUUAUGUUCCAAAUCUACUCCUUCUCAUUAUCCCCAGUCAGGUAUCCAUUCUUGUGCUUUUUUGUUUCAUCAACUCGCACUAGUUGGAUUAUAGACACGGGUGCCUCCGAACAUAUGACUAGGUCCUCAAACCUCUUUACUUCAUACACGCCUUGCUCUGGAAAAGACAAGGUUCGAGUAGCUGACGGUUCCCUAUCUUUUAUCUCCGGGCGUGGUUCUGUAUUUUGUACUCCUUCAUUAACAUUAUCAUAUAUUCUUCAUAUUCCUUCGUUUACUGUAAAUUUAUUAUUUGUCCAACGUCUUUCUGAAUCUCUACACUGUUCAGUAACCUUUUUUCUAAAUCAUUGUGUUUUUCAGGACUUGGUGACGGGGCAGACGAUUGGGAGUGGUAGUGCAGUUGAUGGUCUUUAUUACCUAGAUGUUCCCUCAUCUAACAUGUCCUCCACUCAGGUUAUUCACUCUACUUCUAACUCUAGCUUGACCUCUCUUUAUUAAUGACACCGAUGCUUGGGACAUCCUUCUUUUUCAGUAUUGAAGUCUUUAUUUCCAUCUUUAGUUAAGCAAUGUAACAAAACUCAGUUUUUGUGUAAACCAUGUGAAUUCGGUAAACACAAACGUUCAGCCUAUUCUGCUAUUAACAGUCGGCAUUCUGAGCCUUUUGCUAUUAUUCACACUGAUGUGUGGGGACCCUCCCGGGUUGUUUCCCGUUCUAGUUUUAGAUGGUUUGUUAGUUUUAUUGAUUGUCAUUCUCGUGCCACUUGGAUUUAUCUCCUGCGUUCCAAAUCUGAGGUAUUUGAUUGUUUUCAGGAUUUUCAUAAAAUGAUUCAAACCCAAUUUAAUGUUAAAGUCAAAAUUCUUCAUAGUGAUAAUGGUCGUGAAUAUAGCAACAAUCAUGUUUUUGAAUCUUACCUCUCAGCAUGGCAUCAUUCUUCAAACCUCCUGUGUCAAAACUACAAAACAAAAUGGAGUGGCGGAAAGGAAAAAUCGCUAUUUACUAGAGGUUGCCCGCACUCUUAUGUUCACCAUGACAAUCCCUAUGUUUAUGUGGGAAGAUGCAGUUCUGACUGCUGCAUUUCUUAUUAACCGCCUUCCUUUUAGAAUCCUUGGAAACAAAAGUCCUAUAUCUUUUCUCAAACACACGAUCAGUCCUUCUCCUUCACCUCGAGUUUUUUGGAUGUGUGUGCUAUGUACAUGACAAAUCUCCCAUUCGGGGCAAAUUAGAUCCCAAAGUUCUUCGGUGUGUUUUCAUUGGUUAUUCUCCAACCCAAAAAGGUUAUAAAUGUUAUCAUCCUCCUUCUAACAAAGUCUUUGUCACUCGGGAUGUAACUUUUUGAGAAUUGGAAUCUUUUUAUUCUUCUUCCUCUUUUUCUCAGGGGGAGGAUGUUACUGAGGAGAAGCUCCCUUCUAAGGCUGAAGCCUUAUUCCUGUUAUCCCUUCUGAGGUUGGUAUUACAAGCCCUGUUCCUAUUGUUAUUUAUGAUAAUUCUACACAGGGGGAGUUACAUGAGCCUGAGUUGAGGACUUAUGUUCGAAAAGGCAAGAAUAAGGUCACCAUUUUUACACCACUACACCAACCUUGCUCCGCACCUGUUCUUGAUAAAGCUAAUGGUAAGAAUCCUAACCCUACUUGUUCUUCUGAUGAUACUGACAUUCUUAUUGCUCUCAGAAAAGGAGUUAGAUCUUGUACUCAACAUCCUCUCUCUAAUUUCUUAGCCUAUAAUAAAUUAUUUGCUUCCUACCACUCAUUUGUUUCUUCCUUGUCUUCAAUAUUUGUUCCUCAGGGGUGGAGAGAAGCAAUCAGUGAUGAGAAUUGGAAACAAGCUAUGAUUGAGGAGAUGAAUGCCCUGAAGAAGAAUGAUACAUGGGAACUAGUUACUCUACCCUGUGGGAAAAAAUCAGUUGGUUGCAAAUGGGUAUAUACAAUCAAGCAGAAGCCAAAUGGGACAGUUGAGAGACUCAAAGUCAGGCUAGUUGCAAAAGGAUAUAUUCAAACUCAUGGAAUUGAUUACUAGGAGAAAUUUGCUCCUGUGACGAAGAUGAACUCUGUUCGUACCAUAAUCUCAUGUGCAGCGAACUUUGGCUGGGAUAUUCAACAAUUGGAUGUGAAAAAUGCAUUCUUUCAUGGUGACUUGGAAGAAGAAGUAUACAUGGAAAUACCCUCUGGUUUUGCUUCAUCUGUCACCAAGGGGAGAGCCUGGUUCGGUAGAUUCCACAAAGCAAUGAUCAGAUUUGGAUACAAGCAGAAUCGAGCAGAUCACACUCUAUUUGUCAAAUAGAUAAAUGGGAAGACUGUCAUUCUUAUUGUUUAUGUUGAUGACAUUGUGGUGAUAAGAGAUAAUAAAGAAGAGAUAGCUAAUCUCAAAACGAGUCUGGCCAAAGAAUUUGAGAUCAAAGAUCUUGGUCCUUUGAAAUAUUUCCUUAGCAUUGAAGUUGGAAAAUCUUCCAGCGGGAUUUUUUUAUCUCAACGGAAGUAUGUUUUUGACCUCUUAACAAAAAUUGGUAUAUUAGGAUGUAAGCCUGUUGAUUCUCCUAUUGAAUAAAUCAUCAUCUACUAGGAGGCACAGGACCUACGGUUGAUAGAGAAAGUUAUCAACGUUUGGUGAGACGUUUGAUAUACCUUUCUCAUACUAGACCUGAUAUAUCUUAUGUUGUGGGUAUGGUGAGCCAAUAUAGGCAUGAUUCUCGACAUUGUCACAUAGAAACUGUCUACAGAAUUCUAAUGUAUCUCAAGUCUGCUCCUGAAAAAGGUUUAUUGUUUGCACCAAAUGGUCAUAUGAGAGUCGAAGCUUUUUCCAACUCAGAUUGGGCUGGCUCUAUUGAGGAUCGUUGUUCUACAUCAAGCUACUGUUCAUUUAUUGGAGGUAAUCUUGUUACUUGGCGUAGUAAGAAACAAUCCGUGGUGGCAAGAUCUAGUGAUGAGACUGAAUAUCGAGCUUACCUUUUUUAAACCAGAUCAUCAGCUAGCUGAUAUUCUGACUAAGGGUCUUAGUAGUAAAAUGUUUCAUUGUGUUUCAAGUUAGGUAUGCGAGACAUUUAUACACCAACUUGAGGGGGAGUGUUAGUAAAUGUUAGUAAUGUUAGUACCAUAACAUGUAGAUGUUAGUGAUGUUAGUAUCAUAACAUGCCUUAGGUUUAAACCAUUUCAUGUUUCCCAGGAGUACAUUUGUGUGUGUGUGUGUGUGUGUAUAUAUAUAUAUAUAUCAAUGUAAUAGAAAAAAACUUAACUUGAAUAAAGAAAUCUAAACUCAGGUUCUUAGUUGUUUUUUUAUAUUUAAAGUAACACCUUCAGCAGUUUAGUUUUUCAGAAAGAGGUUGUUCUGUUUCUUUUAUUUUGUAAUGGAGGGCUACAAUAUAUGCCAGUAUCAUUUAGGGAAAUGUGGAAGUUGGUGCAUAAGACUUUUUCAACUUCACAUGCCCUUUAUAUGUGAAUAUUCAUAGACAGGUUGGGGAAGCAUUUUUAGAGAAUCAUCUAGAACUUGGGCUAGAAAAUUGUAACCUGGAUUAUGAUUCAAAUUGGUAUGUGCAACGAAUACGGGAAUAGAAAACAUCACUUUCAUGGUAUCGAGUACGGUAGGGGCAGGUUUUUGACUUUUUUGGAUCGCUUAGUUGGUUCCUAAUACGUUUAUUCAAAAUAUGAUACACAAGGGAUAACUUUUUAAUAAAUAUAGUCUAAGAGUAAAAAUUAGUUGAGAUAUAGUUAAAACUAGUUGAGUUGUAGUGUCACAACAUCUGCAUUUGUAAGGAGGCUAUGUCAUGUCAUCGCUUACUAAAAGCCUACACAACACUCAUUGUGUCACAUUAGUUGACAUUCUCUAGAUUUUUUUGUUCAUAUUAGGGUUUUUGGAAGUUUUCUUUAUUUAGCCAUGUAAUAAUUGUUCUCGUCAAUAUCUUACACGUUUUAGAGAAUGAUUUUAGAUAGUCGAUCUUAGCUCUCCAUUAGAGGCCUAUAUAAAAGGAUGUCACUUAUUUGUAAAUCGUAAAGCAGUUGUAAUCAUGCUUGUGUAACAUGAAAAAUAAGUUUUUGAUUGCAAAAUUUAGUGUGUUAGAAUGAAAAUGUAUCAUGUUUUAGAACGUUUGUAUCAAAACACAGUUUGCUACCAUGUUAGGCUAUUAGCGUUUUCUGGUAACCAUGAUGGACUAGAAAAUCAACAUUCCACUCUAUAAUAGAGUAAAGAAAUAAUGAUAUUUUGCAUUUAAAAGAAAAAUUGAGAUUGCUAGAUGUUAGUUUCUUGUAAUAGGUACCAAGUUCAAUUAUUAUAGCUCAUUUCUUUAUGUAACACUUCACUUUUUAAUAUUAGAAUUCUCCAUAUGAUUUAUAUCUUACUUUGAAAACUGAACAAGGGCUUUCAUACCUCACUUUUUUAAAAUUGUUUUAAUGCGCUUGCGUUGAUUGAUAUGUCUUUUGGAUGAUGUUUAUUUUGUUUGCGAAAUUUACAUUUGCUAAUAAAAGUCUUACAUUACUGAAAUUUGAAGGUAAAAUUGUCUAUAGUCAGUUAUUUUGAUAAAAUAAGUUAGACAAAUUAUUGUUUACUUCUUUCAGGAAAAAAGUUCUUUUAAUUUAUUUUUUUUGUAAUUUAAAUCUCAUGUCGGUGCAUAACUUCUUGAAACAGGGAGCUUAUGCUUAGUGAAGAGAAAAAGAACGAGAUUUUAAGGUUUCUCUGGUUUAUAUUACUUUCACUAUCUUAUGAAUUACAAUUUAUAUAUCAUGAAAAAUUUAGUUUUGCAAUUCUUAUGUUAGAGCACGUUGCACUUUAGUAAGCUCUUUAAGACAGCUGGCUUACACAGAUUGGUGUCUAUGUAUCGCAAUUUUUUUUGUACUCGUGGUAUAUAUAUAAACUAAACAUGCCUUGUGCAGUAACAAAAAGAAGCAAUUUUUGAACCAUCUCCAUCUUUAAAGGCUUGUGAAUAAUAGAGUUCCAAAGCCUACGCUUCAUGUUGUACUGCAAGUCUGGUUUUGGAAGCUAAUUCUUUUACAACCAAUAAGAUACCCUUUUAACAUAUCAAAAGUAAUAUAAAAUAAAAUGCCCUUUAACAGUUAAAGCUAUCUAGUGUCCAUAGGAUUGUUGCAAAUUUCAAAAGGCAUUACCUCAAUAUUUGUCUUCGCUAGUUGAGGAUGUUGAGAGGCACUUUACUUUACUCGUACUUGCAUAUUUUCUUUCUCCAAUUUACGUGUAAGAUAAAAUUAUAUGCAAGUAUGCAAUGUAUAUUACUUUAUUAAUUUCAUAUUCUCGUGCUAGGAAAGCAUUGAUGUUAGGUGUACUUGCUUUGACUAAAAAACUCAAAACUACAAGGUUAUAUAAGUCUUUAAGUAUGGUGCAUAAAAGAAUUCUAGUCCUCAAAACUGCAAAUUGCUCUAGCGUUUAGCAUUAUUGGUAUGGGCUGUCUACAUUCUCAGACUAACAACAUCAUGAAUGAUAAAAGGGAUUUCAAAAUAUGGUUUUUGAAAUAUCUAAAUUUCUCUGUUUUGGACAAACCAACCAUGAAAAUUUAUUUAGGUUAUCAAUUGAAAAUUUCCUUUCUCAAUGUGCUAGUUCUAUGAUGUAAAUUUCAAACAUACAGAGGGUUAGCUCAGUUAUUAGCGUUUACAGUGUUUGUGGCAGUAGCACUUGCAGCGUUUGGACCUCUAAACGCACCGCAUCAUUUUUGGAGUGUUGCGUUUGUACCCUAGAUGCUGAGUUUAUGAGUUAAAUAAGUUGUGCUUGAAAUAAGUUGUUUGUAGAUGAAUAAGAUUUUUAAGUGUGUUUGGAAGUCUAAACACCUCAAAAGCUCCAAACGCUUAGUAACCAUUGUCUUCCUAGUUCCUAAUGUAGUUUUAGCUUUUGCAAGUUUAUGGAUUUGCACAGUUCAUUCCAUUAAGUGCAUGCUUAUUGGUGAAUUAACCCUUAUCUAGUUGUGUUUUACAUAAACAUGAACUAUAUCGCAUUGUUUUAUUUUAAAUUAAUUUUACUCUGUUUCAGUUAUUUUGGUUGAUAAAGAAUAAAAGGUACAUUUAGUUUGUAGUUCUGAUAGAAGAAGCAAGCAACGUUACGUUACUUACGUAUGGAAUUUAUUUAUCAAUCAAUUUCAGUAUUAUGUCUCUACUUCUUUAUUUGAAGGAAUAGAGUGAAAAAUGUUAAGAUUUCACCCGUUUAGUUGUCAUUUCCGUGUCUAUAUUGAGUAUUAUGUAGCAUUAUACACCCUACUUCAAUGUUUGUUAUCUACUGUUGAUCGGGUGGCCAUGGCCCGGCCAGGUUUGGUGUUGAACCAAGAGGCGCCAAGCUUGGCCCAACAGUAAAAUGGCAAGGCCUAAACCCAAACUUAGGUCAUGGGGAACUAUGGGAACUGAUUGUGGUCUACAUUAAUAAUAUCAAGAGUAUUAAGUCAUGUGUACAAAUUAAAAUCCAUGUUCGUUGUACCUAGAAUUGAUUUUUAAAAAAAUUCUUUGUACUUAGACUUGAAAAGAAGAAGAAGAAACAUUCAUUGUCAUGGACAUGAUUAAGAUGUUGUCCAAUCUUACGUAUGACAUUUCUCCAAUCUUAUGACAAAAAGAAAAAAUUCUUUUUACGAUGAAUUGGUUUCAAUAAGUAUUCAUUAUAUUUUUAUAUGAUUUUGUAAAAUGGUUCAACACAUAAAAUAUAAGGUUUUAAUUUUUCAAAAUUAGUUGUUAAUUGAUAUAUUACAUUACAUCAGUUUUUGCUACUUAGUAUUGGUACUAAUUAAGUAAUUAUAUAAUAAAUAUAAUGAACUAAAUACACAAGAUAUUGGAUAAAAAAAACACAUCUCCAUUCCAAAAUAUAGGACCAUUUUGCUAUAAAAAAAAUAAUAUAAACAAUUUCAUCCUCUUGAACCAUAAAUUAUUACUCAUUAUAUAUCUUUUAUUUUGGGUGUCCAUGUGGAUUUUUAUUUAUUUUAGUUUUUGGACGUAGAAUUGAGUAUUUUUCUUUGUAUUCAUUCAUUGCUUUAGCACAAUAUAUGAUUGGACUAUUUUUGGUUUAUCUAUAUGGUCAACAACUGCUGUGGGACUUAAUAAGAGAAAUUCAUAUUAUCCAGCUCAUAUAUUCUCCAUUUUACUAACUGAGUUUAGUGGCAGUUAUGGGAGAUCAGGGUCGGCCCUAAGUUUUGAAUGGCCUAAAGCGACAAUAAAAAAAUUUGGGCCUAUUUCAUUGGG
Molecule: long non-coding RNA, 24882 nt
Filed under: Panax ginseng (ginseng)
Lineage: Eukaryota; Viridiplantae; Streptophyta; Magnoliopsida; Apiales; Araliaceae
Description: long non-coding RNA (PGIN_LNC001985)
Source: RNAcentral